This 69-nucleotide transfer RNA is filed under the name Agathobacter sp. Its description in RNAcentral is "tRNA-Ala". It matches the Rfam family "tRNA". From Rfam's summary of the family: Transfer RNA (tRNA) molecules are approximately 80 nucleotides in length. Their secondary structure includes four short double-helical elements and three loops (D, anti-codon, and T loops). Further hydrogen bonds mediate the characteristic L-shaped molecular structure. tRNAs have two regions of fundamental functional importance: the anti-codon, which is responsible for specific mRNA codon recognition, and the 3' end, to which the tRNAs corresponding amino acid is attached (by aminoacyl-tRNA synthetases). tRNAs cope with the degeneracy of the genetic code in two manners: having more than one tRNA (with a specific anti-codon) for a particular amino acid; and 'wobble' base-pairing, i.e. permitting non-standard base-pairing at the 3rd anti-codon position. RNAcentral also lists the same sequence under 1 other name. Lineage: Bacteria; Bacillati; Bacillota; Clostridia; Lachnospirales; Lachnospiraceae. The record is from RNAcentral.
UGGAAAAUAGUUUAAUUGGCAAAACAUGAUUUCGCGAAUCAAAUGUAGGUUCAACUCCUGCUUUUCCAG